Molecule: ribosomal RNA, 510 nt
Filed under: uncultured bacterium
Lineage: Bacteria
Description: partial 16S ribosomal RNA
Rfam family: Bacterial small subunit ribosomal RNA
Source: RNAcentral
GACGAGCGCUGGCGGCGUGCUUAACACAUGCAAGUCGAACGAAGAGCGAUGGAAGCUUGCUUCUAUCAAUCUUAGUGGCGAACGGGUGAGUAACGCGUAAUCAACCUGCCCUUCAGAGGGGGACAACAGUUGGAAACGACUGCUAAUACCGCAUACGAUCUAAUCUCGGCAUCGAGGAUAGAUGAAAGGUGGCCUCUACAUGUAAGCUAUCACUGAAGGAGGGGAUUGCGUCUGAUUAGCUAGUUGGAGGGGUAACGGCCCACCAAGGCGAUGAUCAGUAACCGGUCUGAGAGGAUGAACGGCCACAUUGGGACUGAGACACGGCCCAGACUCCUACGGGAGGCAGCAGUGGGGAAUCUUCCGCAAUGGACGAAAGUCUGACGGAGCAACGCCGCGUGAGUGAUGACGGCCUUCGGGUUGUAAAGCUCUGUUAAUCGGGACGAAAGGCCUUCUUGCGAAUAGUGAGAAGGAUUGACGGUACCGGAAUAGAAAGCCACGGCUAACUACGUG